This 255-nucleotide ribosomal RNA is filed under the name uncultured bacterium. Its description in RNAcentral is "partial 16S ribosomal RNA". It matches the Rfam family "Bacterial small subunit ribosomal RNA", at positions 524 to 776 of the family's 1533-position model. The record is from RNAcentral.
UACAGAGGAGCCAAGCGUUGUCCGGAUUGACUGGGCGUAAAGCGCACGCAGGCGGUUGCGCGCGUGGGGUGUGAAAUCUGGCCGCUUAACGGCCAGGCGCCAUCCCAUACGGCGCGACUGGAGUGAUGCAGAGGUCGAUGGAAUUGCCGGUGUAGUGGUGAAAUGCGUAGAGAUCGGCAGGAACACCCCAGGGGGGAAACCAGUCGACUGGGCAUCUACUGACGCUGAGGUGCGAGAGCGUGGGGAGCGAACAGG